RNAcentral lists this ribosomal RNA (464 nucleotides) under Vreelandella stevensii. Its description in RNAcentral is "partial 16S ribosomal RNA". It matches the Rfam family "Bacterial small subunit ribosomal RNA", at positions 338 to 795 of the family's 1533-position model. Lineage: Bacteria; Pseudomonadati; Pseudomonadota; Gammaproteobacteria; Oceanospirillales; Halomonadaceae. The record is from RNAcentral.
CCUACGGGGGCUGCAGUGGGGAAUAUUGGACAAUGGGCGAAAGCCUGAUCCAGCCAUGCCGCGUGUGUGAAGAAGGCCUUCGGGUUGUAAAGCACUUUCAGUGGGGAAGAAAGCCUUGGGGCUAAUACCCUCGAGGAAGGACAUCACCCACAGAAGAAGCACCGGCUAACUCCGUGCCAGCAGCCGCGGUAAUACGGAGGGUGCGAGCGUUAAUCGGAAUUACUGGGCGUAAAGCGCGCGUAGGCGGUCUGAUAAGCCGGUUGUGAAAGCCCCGGGCUCAACCUGGGAACGGCAUCCGGAACUGUCAGGCUAGAGUGCAGGAGAGGAAGGUAGAAUUCCCGGUGUAGCGGUGAAAUGCGUAGAGAUCGGGAGGAAUACCAGUGGCGAAGGCGGUCUUCUGGACUGACACUGACGCUGAGGUGCGAAAGCGUGGGUAGCAAACAGGAUUAGAUACCCCAGUAGUC